Molecule: ribosomal RNA, 1372 nt
Filed under: uncultured bacterium
Lineage: Bacteria
Description: bacterial SSU rRNA
Rfam family: Bacterial small subunit ribosomal RNA
Source: RNAcentral
GAUGAACGCUGGCGGCGUGCCUAAUACAUGCAAGUCGAGCGAACGGACGAGAAGCUUGCUUCUCUGAUGUUAGCGGCGGACGGGUGAGUAACACGUGGAUAACCUACCUAUAAGACUGGGAUAACUUCGGGAAACCGGAGCCAAUACCGGAUAAUAUUUUGAACCGCAUGGUUCAAAAGUAAAAGACGGUCUUGCUGUCACUUAUAGAUGGAUCCGCGCUGCAUUAGCUAGUUGGUAAGGUAACGGCUUACCAAGGCAACGAUGCAUAGCCGACCUGAGAGGGUGAUCGGCCACACUGGAACUGAGACACGGUCCAGACUCCUACGGGAGGCAGCAGUAGGGAAUCUUCCGCAAUGGGCGAAAGCCUGACGGAGCAACGCCGCGUGAGUGAUGAAGGUCUUCGGAUCGUAAAACUCUGUUAUUAGGGAAGAACAUAUGUGUAAGUAACUGUGCACAUCUUGACGGUACCUAAUCAGAAAGCCACGGCUAACUACGUGCCAGCAGCCGCGGUAAUACGUAGGUGGCAAGCGUUAUCCGGAAUUAUUGGGCGUAAAGCGCGCGUAGGCGGUUUUUUAAGUCUGAUGUGAAAGCCCACGGCUCAACCGUGGAGGGUCAUUGGAAACUGGAAAACUUGAGUGCAGAAGAGGAAAGUGGAAUUCCAUGUGUAGCGGUGAAAUGCGCAGAGAUAUGGAGGAACACCAGUGGCGAAGGCGACUUUCUGGUCUGUAACUGACGCUGAUGUGCGAAAGCGUGGGGAUCAAACAGGAUUAGAUACCCUGGUAGUCCACGCCGUAAACGAUGAGUGCUAAGUGUUAGGGGGUUUCCGCCCCUUAGUGCUGCAGCUAACGCAUUAAGCACUCCGCCUGGGGAGUACGACCGCAAGGUUGAAACUCAAAGGAAUUGACGGGGACCCGCACAAGCGGUGGAGCAUGUGGUUUAAUUCGAAGCAACGCGAAGAACCUUACCAAAUCUUGACAUCCUUUGACAACUCUAGAGAUAGAGCCUUCCCCUUCGGGGGACAAAGUGACAGGUGGUGCAUGGUUGUCGUCAGCUCGUGUCGUGAGAUGUUGGGUUAAGUCCCGCAACGAGCGCAACCCUUAAGCUUAGUUGCCAUCAUUAAGUUGGGCACUCUAAGUUGACUGCCGGUGACAAACCGGAGGAAGGUGGGGAUGACGUCAAAUCAUCAUGCCCCUUAUGAUUUGGGCUACACACGUGCUACAAUGGACAAUACAAAGGGCAGCGAAACCGCGAGGUCAAGCAAAUCCCAUAAAGUUGUUCUCAGUUCGGAUUGUAGUCUGCAACUCGACUACAUGAAGCUGGAAUCGCUAGUAAUCGUAGAUCAGCAUGCUACGGUGAAUACGUUCCCGGGUCU